Molecule: long non-coding RNA, 5749 nt
Filed under: Homo sapiens (human)
Lineage: Eukaryota; Metazoa; Chordata; Mammalia; Primates; Hominidae
Description: non-protein coding lnc-ZEB1-1:5
Source: RNAcentral
ACAGCUCUGGCGCCAUAAUCAGGGUCGCGGGUUGGGAUCAGCUGUGCCUCCCCAUCCCCACCCCCUACAGACCACCUCCCCUUACCCUGCCUGCCUGGAGCCCCAGCUGGCUCUUGGAAGGUCCCUUUCCAAUUUGCUCCACAUUCGGGAGUUUCUUAUUCCCACGGGAAGAACUCGUUGCCAUGGCGAUGUGCGCCUCCCAACCCUGAAGCCCGCCCUGGAAGCGAAAUCCUUGCCUGGGCUCCCAGGCUGAGCCGGAGGACCCCGGGGGUUCACCUAGCCCUCUGGGAUAAGGGGCUUUAGUCUCUAUAUUCUUUGGGCUUGGGGGUUGGGGACAGUGGGAGGAUUAAUUAUGGAGGCAAGGUCAGAGGAAAAGGGAAAAAUGGGAAAGAUUUUAUUUAAAGCCCCUGGUCAUUCUUGCCUUUCCGCCCGCCCACCACGACCCCUCAAGCCAGAUGCCGUCUCUAGUUCGGGAGCGUUGGAUGAGGAUGCCAGGCACUCUGCUUUUCCUAAACAACUUCCAAGAACCCCGGAACAUUUCUUAAAGUGUCUGGAACGAAGCUUUAACCUCGCCUGCUCCAUCAGCCUGGGACGGAAAAGACGCGAGGGGCGAAGAAGAGGUGGGGCACGGGGAGCCCGGGCCGUUCGGCUUAGGUCUACAAGCCAGGUUCAAGGCCACCAACUGAGGCACCUGUCCCGAGACAGGACCAUUCUAAUCUGCCCUGAAAAGGACAUCCCAUUGAUCAUGUAAGUAUGUACUGAGAAUCUACUGUGGGCAAGACAUUGGUCUUCGCUGUGGGAGAUACAAAAACCAUUCAGGCAUGGCCCUUGCCUUUUUCAUGCCAAGAAAAGCUGAAGUGUGUGGUCAGAAAUUGCAUGUGGUUUCUGGGACUUACUGCCCUGAAGCACCCUGGGUGUAUCGGAUGGCCUCAGGGAACACAGUUUGGGUAUGGGCAGUAUUUUCAUGCCCAUUGCCAUUCCCUUCUGCCUCAAGUGUAUGUGGGCUUUCCCUGCAGUCAGCCAGCAGGCCAGGCCAGGGUGGCUUUGUUUCUGUCUCUGACCCUUUCUCUUCAGACUCCAAAUCUGCAGGUGCUGGAGACUUUGAAGGAGUCUCCGUUUCCCUUGGUAGAAACAAGAGGUAGGAACAAGCAGGUGGAAAGCCAGGGUUACUCCUUCCAGCCAAUGGGUCUGGGGCUGCAGCACACAAAGUUGACAUCCCGAAAGGCCAUUUUCCUCGAUCGCUUCAGACCUGGCAUUGGGUGGACAGACCACAUGAUUCAGCAUCCAAAUUGGAGAUCUCUCAAUAACAGAAAGAGGUGCCAUUGAUAAUUUCGUGGAACUUUCCUGAGCACACCAGGGUGUGCUCAUUCUUCCUGAGGGGUCAUCUCCCUUGGGCAUCGUAAGAGGCACCACUGAGACACAACAGCUUUUGUCACCAUUUCCCAAUUGUGUCCCAAGCUCUCUGUCCUCUUCCCUGUGCUGGUCAUCUCACAGUCUUCUUCUGCAGGUAGAUCCCCCCUACUUCAGCCCUUCCUCCCACCUCAGCUCCUUUGUUCCCGCUGCCAUGCCCAGAACAACCUAUAUUUCCACUCUCCAACCUUGGAUCAACCCAACUGUGUUUUCACGCUACUAUGUCCAGGAUACUGGAUGAUACUAGAGAUAGCCAUCAGUAACAUUCAUUACAUGAAUAAGUCUGGGUUGAUCCUGUGACACAGUUAUGCCUUCUACCCUCUGCUGCUUCUCAACAUUGCUCAGUCCUUAUGUUGGUGUUCUCAUUUCACAUGAUAGAGUUCCAAACCUUUUGUAGCCCGAAUCGUCAUCUAUCCCCUAAUUCUUGGAAAAGACCCUAACUUCACCAAUAGCAACAACAAUCAAAACCAACUGAACAAACAAAAAAAUACUUAAGAUACGAACCUCUCAGAUUUUCUGAACUCUCCACCUCCAGACUAAAUUUGUGGAUGGAUACCUAUCUGUUGACCAGACCCUCCCUCUUCAAUGAAAACUGCCUCUCCUUCCACUCCAUCUGUGAGGCACCCUUGGAUGCUGACAUGUGCUUACAUAGGACUUCCUGUCCACAGCCAGAAUUAGCCAGAAUUCACUGACCCAUGGUUGGACUCCUAAAAUACUCAAGAUGAGAGACAUGUUACUUUUCUUUACUAUAGUAACUAUCAAAUGCAUCCCAUAACCUUAUGUUGUAAAUGUCAAAUAUGCACAAUAAAAUUUAUUUGAAAAAAUAAAGCUGGAAAAUUGAAAGUAAUGAAUGUUCAGUUAAAAUCUGCAAACAAGCUAAUAAAUAAAUACUCAAGAUGGCCCAGUGACAGCCUUUCUCUAGAGUUUUUGAUUUGAGGCCAAGAAGGUUAGUGCAGCCUUUCUCCCAUGGCUGUCACUGUGAAGAUAAACAUUUGGGAAUUGAUGGCAGCCUUGUUUCUCCACCAGGCUGAAGAAACUAGGACCUGCGGGGGCUGAGACUGGAGUGAAACAGAUGUGAAGAGAAAAGUCCUGGGUCCAGGUGGUCCUGGGGCCCAGCCAUGCUCUUGUUUUUUUUUUUUUGUUUGUUUUUUGUUUGUUUGUUUGUUUGUUUUGUUUUAAUAGAUUUAAAUUGGUUCCUGCCAGGUACAGUCAAAGGCCUUUUUACCUGCUUCUCAGAGAAUUUCCCUCCGCCUGCCUGUGGCUAAUUCCUUCUCCUGCACCCUUGGUUCAGCCUCACCUGGCGACCCUUGUUCCAUCACUUCCACCACUUCUCUAGAAUCUUCAGUCAUUUCAGCAAUACAUAUGUUCAUCUUCCUGCCCAAAAACUGAAUAAGCAAAGACUUUCUUUCAUCUCUGACCCUCUUCAACUUCUGCCCUUCCCUUCUACUCACUAUCUCUAUUUUCUCACCUCCUACUUAAUGCCCAAUCUGCUGCUGCUAUCUUGCUCCAUUUCUUCUUCCCAUUUUCCUGAGGCUACUCUCUUGACAGGGAGUGCAUUGCAGAAUAUGUCCAAUUUCUUGUGUUUAUGUUACUUGUCUGCAGCAUCUGGCAUCAGUAACCACCUCCUCUUUCUCAAAACUCCCACUGCACUUGAUGGUUUUCCUGCUGGUUCUUGACCUGAUGCAGAAAAGCUUGACCUGCAGAAGCUGUACUAGAAGCAAUCAGGAUCUAAAGCUCUAGACUUUUCCAACCUGCCUCUCAUUGCCAUAAAAAUGCAACUGGCCUGUGUCUCCUCUCCUGGUGCACUGCUAAGGGAGGGCUGACUGAUCUAAUGAGAUUACUGGAGCUAAGGCAUUCACAGCAUCAAGAGGAGAGACACAGAAAUGUAAGACCUAAGUCCUGCCUUCAAAAACCCACAUGCUCAUUGGAAAAACAACACAGAAACACUUAAAAAAUGAAAUUCAAGCAUGAAGUAACAGCGUGAGGUAUGUCACAAAGUGGUAUGUUAUUAUUUUUUUUUAUGAGGUGGAAUCUCACACUGUCACUCAGGCUGGAGUGCAAUGGCAUGAUCUCGGUUCACUGCAACCUCCACCUCCCAGGUUCAAGUGAUUCUCCUGCCUCAGCCUCCUGAGUAGCUGGGAUUACAGGCGCCCACCACCAUGCCCAGCUAAUUUUUGUAUUUUUUUAUUAGAGACGGGGUUUCACCAUCUUGGUCAGGCUGGUCUCGAACUCCUGACCUGGUGAUCUGCCUGCCUCGGCCUCCCAAAGUGCUGGGAUUACAGGCAUGAGCCACCGCGCCCAGCCAGUGGCAUGUUAUUAAGAGAUGUGGAUACCAGUUUCUCCAGGAGAUCACAGAGCUUUCCCUGUAGGAGUAAUCAAUGGAGGCAUCCUUGUUGGGGAAGGGUCUUGGUGGUAGAUGCUGGUCUGAAAAUUGACCAAGGCCUUAAGUAAAAGUUAGGAGCUGUAUUUCCAGAGUAGAAAAAGAGAGAGACAGAGAGAGAGAGAGAGGGAGAUUCUAGGCGUGAAGAAAGCCCAAGAGCUCACAAAAUCUUGAGCUUGGGAUAGAAAUCAGACUGGACCAAGUGGAGGGUUAUAGUGGACAGUGCUCAUUUAACAAAAUAUUUUGUUUAUAAAUUUAUUAUUUGAUGUUUUAAAAACGUAUCAAGAAAACAUUAUGGGCAAAAUCAGAACACAGUUGGACUUCCUUACAUUUAUGUUAUUUUUUUUCCUUUUUUCAAUUGAUACACAUAUUUGUACAUAUUUAUGGAGUACAUGUGAUAUUUUGUUACAUGCAUGGAAUGUGGAAUGAUCAAGUCAAGGUAUUUAGGGUAGACAUCACCUCAAGUAUUUAUCAUUUUUAUAUGUUGGGAACAUGUCAAGUUCUCUCUUCUAGCUAUUUUGAACUAGACAAUACGUUGUUACUGACUAUAGCACCCCACUGUGGUAUAGAACAUUAGAACUUAUUCCUCCUAUCUAACUGUAUGUACCCACCAACUAAGCACUCUCUUAAUCCCCUUCCCCACCAGCACACCUUCGCAGCAUCUGGUAUCUAUCAUUCUCCUCUCUACCUCCAUAAGAUCAACUUUUUUUAGCUUCCAUAUAUGAGUGAGAACUUGCAAUGUUUGUCUUUCUCUGACAGCCUUAUUUCACUUAACAUAAUGACCUCCAGUUCCAUUCAUGUUGCUACAAAUGACAAGAUUUUAUUCCUUUUUUAUGGCCAAAUAGUAUUCUAUUUGUGUAUUUAUAUCACAUUUUUAAUCCAUUUGUCCAUUGAUGGACACUUAGGUUGAUCCCCUAUCUUUGCUAUUGUGAAUAGUGCUGUCGUAAACUGAGAGCACAGGUAUGCUGUGAUGUACUGAACUCCUUUCCUUUAGAAAAAUACCCCAUAGUGGGAUUGCUGGGUCAUAUGGUAGUUCUAUUUUUAGUUUUUUGAGAAAUCUCCGUACUGUUUUCCAUAAUGGCUGUACUAAUUUAGAUUCUCACCAACAGAUCCUUGCCAGCAUCUGUUACUAUUUUUUUUUUGUCUUUUUAAUAGUAGCCAUUCUAACAGGGGUAAGAAAAUGUCUCAUUGUGGAUUUCGAUUUGCAUUUCCCUGAUGAUUAGUGAUGUUGAGCAUUUUUUCAUGUACCUGUUGGCCAUUUGUAUGUCUUCUUUUGAGAAAUGUCUAUUCAUGUCCUUUGCUCACUUUUUAAUGGGAUUAUAUGGGUUUUUUUUCAACUGUUGGGUUGUUUGAGUUCCUUGUACAUUCUGGAUAUUAGUCCUUUGUCACAUUAAUAGUUUGCAAAUAUUUUCUCCAAUUCACCAGGCUGUCUCUUCACACUGUUGAUUGUGUGUAGAUGCUGUGCAGAAGCUAUUUAGUUCAACAUAGUCCCAUUUGUCUAGUGUUGUUUUUGUUGCCUAUGCUUGUGAUCCUGUUUUAUAUUUAUGGAGGAUAGAGGUGAGACAUCAUAAUCAUAUCAGUGUUAAGGACCUUGAAAGGUUGAAUGCAGAUCUUUAGUAGCACAUAAAGCUGGGACUAUAUUUUGGAAGACUUGAAUUCCAAGUGAAGCAGUUGGACCUUGCAUAUCUUGAUGUGCAAAGGGCUUUGAGGACAAUGACUACCUCAAGUUCUCUGGGUCUCUGGAGAAAAAUAUUUCUGAUUUUACAUACCUAGUCUAAUAUUGGAUUUCGUAUCUUUUACUGCAUAGUGUACAUUUUAAAAACUACAUAUGUAAGAGUUUUCUGGUGGUAGAAAUUAUGCCUCUUUGUUUCAUUACUCUUGUUCAUUGGUAUUAGUUGGAAGAGAUAAUGUCCCUUUAAGUGCAAACCCUCCCUUGAAGAAUAAAUCCUAAAACAACUG